RNAcentral lists this ribosomal RNA (1527 nucleotides) under Triticum aestivum (bread wheat). RNAcentral's name for it is "partial small subunit ribosomal RNA". Lineage: Eukaryota; Viridiplantae; Streptophyta; Magnoliopsida; Poales; Poaceae. The record is from RNAcentral.
AUGGAGGUAGUGACGGGUGCCAUCGGAAGCCUGCUUCCAAAGCUGGGCGAGCUGCUUAAGGAGGAGUACAAGCUGCAGAAGGGCGCCAAGAAAGAUGUCCAGUCUCUUACGAGAGAAGUUGUGAGCAUGCAGGCUGCCCUUGGCAAGGUAGGGCAGAUCCCGCGUGAGCAGCUCGACGAGCAGGUCAAGCUAUGGGCAGGAGAAGUCAGGGAGCUAUCCUAUGUCAUGGAGGACACAAUCGACACCUUUCUGGUCCGCGUCGAGGGCUCUGAGCCUGAGGUCAACUCAGACGGCUCCGCUUUCGGUGCGCUCAUGAAGAAGAUGGUCAAAUUGUUCGACAAGGGCAAGACUCGCCAUCAGAUUGCAGAUGCGAUCAAGGACAUUAAGGACCGGGUCCAGGAGGUUGCUCAACGGCGAAGCAACUACAAGAUCGAUGACAUCGUCGCAAGUCCUCCUUCCUCAACCACCAUCGACCCCCGUCUCUCGGCUCUCUACAACAAGAUUACUGACCUUGUUGGCAUCGAUGAGCCGAGGGAGGAGCUAAUCAAGAGGCUCGCGGAGGGCGGCGAUGCAAUCAAGGUUGUCUCCCUUGCUGGAUUUGGGGGAUUGGGCAAGACAACUCUUGCCAAAGCAGUAUAUGAAAGCUUGAGAGCACAGUUUGAUUGCGCGGCCUUUGUUUCGGUGUCUCAGAAUCCUGACAUAACAAGGGUCUUCAAGAAGAUGUUGCAUCAACUUGACCAUAAAAAAUACGCCCACAUCAACGAAGCAUCAUGGGAUGAAACACAACUCAUCGAUGAACUAAGGGAGUUCCUUCGGACAAAGAGGUACGUCAUUGUUAUCGAUGACAUUUGGAAUAUCCAGCCAUGGGAAAUAAUCAGAUAUGCUUUGGUUGAGAAUAAUUCUGCAAGUAGAAUAAUUACAACUACCCGUGACUUUGAUAUUGCUGAAAGAGUUGGAGGUUGUUACAACCUAAAACCCCUUGUCCUAGAGAGCUCUAAAAUAUUAUUCUAUAGAAGAAUAUUUGGUUCAGAAGAAAAAUGCCCUGAACAUUUGGCUGAAAUAUCUAUGAAGAUUUUGAAGAAAUGUGGCGGUGUGCCAUUAGCUAUCAUUACCAUGGCUAGUCUGUUGUCUGUACCUAGUAAGAUGGUAAAUCCAAGUGAGUGGUAUGAGGAUUAUCACUCGAUUGGUUCGGGACUUGGAGAUAGUCCAAGUGUGAAGAAUAUGAGGAUGAUAUUAUCACUUAGCUAUUAUAGUCUACCUUCCCAUCUAAGGACUUGCCUACUGUAUCUCUCUGUGUUUCCAGAAGAUUAUGAGAUUCCCAGAGAUAAGUUGAUAUGGAAAUGGAUAAGUGAAGGUUUUAUCCAUCAUAAAAAUCCUGAGGAUAGGUUGUUUGAGGUCGGAGAGAGGUAUUUCAUUGAGCUUAUAAACAGAGGCCUGAUCCAGCCAUGCUUCGGUAAUCAGGAUAUUAUGAUAACACAUUGCCGUUUGCAUGAUAUGGUUCUUGAUCAUUUGUUUCUUAUCAAGUGA